RNAcentral lists this ribosomal RNA (465 nucleotides) under uncultured bacterium. RNAcentral's name for it is "partial 16S ribosomal RNA". It matches the Rfam family "Bacterial small subunit ribosomal RNA", at positions 28 to 507 of the family's 1533-position model. The record is from RNAcentral.
GACGAACGCUGGCGGCGUGCUUAACACAUGCAAGUCGAACGGAAAGGCCCCCUUGGGGGGUUCUCGAGUGGCGAACGGGUGAGUAACACGUGAGUAACCUACCCUUGACCUUGUGAUAACUUCAGGAAACUGGGGCUAAUACCCGAUAAGAGCUCCCGCUGCACGGGGGGGGGUGGAAAGUCUCGGCGGUUGGGGAUGGACUCGCGGCUGAUCAGCGUGUUGGUGGGGUAGUGGCUCACCACGGCUUUGGCGGGUAGCCGGCCUGUGAUGGUGACCGGCCACAUUGGGACUGAGAUACGGCCCAGACUCCUACGGGAGGCAGCAGUGGGGAAUAUUGCACAAUGGGCGGAAGCCUGAUGCAGCAACGCCGCGUGCGGGAUGACGGCCUUCGGGUUGUAAACCGCUUUCGCCUGUGACGAAGCGUGAGUGACGGUAAUGGGUAAAGAAGCACCGGCUAACUACGUG